Molecule: ribosomal RNA, 253 nt
Filed under: uncultured bacterium
Lineage: Bacteria
Description: partial 16S ribosomal RNA
Rfam family: Bacterial small subunit ribosomal RNA
Source: RNAcentral
UACGUAGGGUGCGAGCGUUGUCCGGAAUUAUUGGGCGUAAAGAGCUUGUAGGCGGUUUGUCGCGUCUGCUGUGAAAACCCGCGGCUCAACCGCGGGCCUGCAGCCGAUACGGGCAGGCUGGAGUUCGGUAGGGGAGACUGGAAUUCCUGGUGUAGCGGUGAAAUGCGCAGAUAUCAGGAGGAACACCGAUGGCGAAGGCAGGUCUCUGGGCCGAUACUGACGCUGAGGAGCGAAGGCGUGGGGAGCGAACAGG